GACGAACGCUGGCGGCGUGCUUAACACAUGCAAGUCGAACGGAAAGGCCCUGCUUUUGUGGGGUGCUCGAGUGGCGAACGGGUGAGUAACACGUGAGUAACCUGCCCUUGACUUUGGGAUAACUUCAGGAAACUGGGGCUAAUACCGGAUAGGAGCUCCUGCUGCAUGGUGGGGGUUGGAAAGUUUCGGCGGUUGGGGAUGGACUCGCGGCUUAUCAGCUUGUUGGUGGGGUAGUGGCUUACCAAGGCUUUGACGGGUAGCCGGCCUGAGAGGGUGACCGGCCACAUUGGGACUGAGAUACGGCCCAGACUCCUACGGGAGGCAGCAGUGGGGAAUAUUGCACAAUGGGCGGAAGCCUGAUGCAGCAACGCCGCGUGCGGGAUGACGGCCUGCGGGGUGUAAACCGCUGUCGCCUGUGACGAAGCGUGAGUGACGGUAAUGGGUAAAGAAGCACCGGCUAACUACGUG
This 468-nucleotide ribosomal RNA is filed under the name uncultured bacterium. RNAcentral describes it as "partial 16S ribosomal RNA". It matches the Rfam family "Bacterial small subunit ribosomal RNA", at positions 28 to 507 of the family's 1533-position model. The record is from RNAcentral.